Molecule: non-coding RNA, 45 nt
Filed under: Schistosoma mansoni
Lineage: Eukaryota; Metazoa; Platyhelminthes; Trematoda; Strigeidida; Schistosomatidae
Source: RNAcentral
AUCCAGCUGACAAGUCCCAAAUAGGAUAAAAUGUACUUCCUGGAU